GACGAACGCUGGCGGCGUGCUUAACACAUGCAAGUCGAACGGAAAGGCCCUGCUUUUGUGGGGUGCUCGAGUGGCGAACGGGUGAGUAACACGUGAGUGACCUGCCCUUGACUUUGGGAUAACUUCAGGAAACUGGGGCUAAUACCGGAUAGGAGCUCCUGCUGCAUGGUGGGGGUUGGAAAGUUUCGGCGGUUGGGGAUGGACUCGCGGCUUAUCAGCUUGUUGGUGGGGUAGUGGCUUACCAAGGCUGUGACGGGUAGCCGGCCUGAGAGGGUGACCGGCCACAUUGGGACUGAGAUACGGCCCAGAGUCCUACGGGAGGCAGCAGUGGGGAAUAUUGCACAAUGGGCGGAAGCCUGAUGCAGAAACACCGCGUGCGGGAUGACGGCCUUCGGGUUGUAAACCGCUUUCGCCUGUGACGAAGCGUGAGUGACGGUAAUGGGUAAAGAAGCACCGGCUAACUACGUG
Molecule: ribosomal RNA, 468 nt
Filed under: uncultured bacterium
Lineage: Bacteria
Description: partial 16S ribosomal RNA
Rfam family: Bacterial small subunit ribosomal RNA
Source: RNAcentral